GCAAAGAUAGCUUAACAGGCAAAGCAAAGCACUGAAAAUGCUAACAUAAAGGUUCGAGUCCUUUUCCUAGCA
RNAcentral lists this transfer RNA (72 nucleotides) under Linckia laevigata. Its description in RNAcentral is "tRNA-Phe". It matches the Rfam family "tRNA". Rfam says of the family: Transfer RNA (tRNA) molecules are approximately 80 nucleotides in length. Their secondary structure includes four short double-helical elements and three loops (D, anti-codon, and T loops). Further hydrogen bonds mediate the characteristic L-shaped molecular structure. tRNAs have two regions of fundamental functional importance: the anti-codon, which is responsible for specific mRNA codon recognition, and the 3' end, to which the tRNAs corresponding amino acid is attached (by aminoacyl-tRNA synthetases). tRNAs cope with the degeneracy of the genetic code in two manners: having more than one tRNA (with a specific anti-codon) for a particular amino acid; and 'wobble' base-pairing, i.e. permitting non-standard base-pairing at the 3rd anti-codon position. The record is from RNAcentral. Lineage: Eukaryota; Metazoa; Echinodermata; Asteroidea; Valvatida; Ophidiasteridae.